This 253-nucleotide ribosomal RNA is filed under the name uncultured bacterium. RNAcentral's name for it is "partial 16S ribosomal RNA". It matches the Rfam family "Bacterial small subunit ribosomal RNA", at positions 524 to 776 of the family's 1533-position model. The record is from RNAcentral.
UACGAAGGGGGCUAGCGCUGCUCGGAAUCACUGGGCGUAAAGGGUGCGUAGGCGGGUCUUUAAGUCAGGGGUGAAAUCCUGGAGCUCAACUCCAGAACUGCCCUUGAUACUGAGGAUCUUGAGUUCGGGAGAGGUGAGUGGAACUGCGAGUGUAGAGGUGAAAUUCGUAGAUAUUCGCAAGAACACCAGUGGCGAAGGCGGCUCACUGGCCCGGUACUGACGCUGAGGUGCGAAAGCGUGGGGAGCAAACAGG